This 565-nucleotide ribosomal RNA is filed under the name uncultured bacterium. RNAcentral's name for it is "partial 16S ribosomal RNA". It matches the Rfam family "Bacterial small subunit ribosomal RNA", at positions 356 to 940 of the family's 1533-position model. The record is from RNAcentral.
UGGGGAUAUUGGACAAUGGGCGCAAGCCUGAUCCAGCCAUGCCGCGUGAGUGAUGAAGGCCUUAGGGUUGUAAAGCUCUUUCGCCGACGAAGAUAAUGACGGUAGUCGGAGAAGAAGCCCCGGCUAACUUCGUGCCAGCAGCCGCGGUAAUACGAAGGGGGCUAGCGUUGUUCGGAAUCACUGGGCGUAAAGCGCACGUAGGCGGAUUGUUAAGUCAGGGGUGAAAGCCUGGAGCUCAACUCCAGAACUGCCCUUGAUACUGGCAAUCUCGAGUCCGGAAGAGGUAAGUGGAACUGCGAGUGUAGAGGUGAAAAUUCGUAGAUAUUCGCAAGAACACCAGUGGCGAAGGCGGCUUACUGGUCCGGUACUGACGCUGAGGUGCGAAAGCGUGGGGACAAAACAGGAUUAGAUACCCUGGUAGUCCACGCCGUAAAACGAUGGAGGCUAGCCGUUGGCGAGCAUGCUCGUCAGUGGCGCAGCUAACGCAUUAAGCCUCCCGCCUGGGGAGUACGGUCGCAAGAUUAAAAACUCAAAGGAAUUGACGGGGGUCAUAGCUGUUUUCCCU